AAUUGUUGUCUUUUGAUAAUUUAUUGAAUUAUAUGCACUAAUUAUGUGUUUGUUGCAUAGUUUCCAUUGGAUUCUCACUGUUAUUGACCCUUACAAUGAAGUUAUUUAUUUGUUGGAUUCUCUAAGGCACCGCAUUCAUGAUGAGGAUUGGAAAUAUAUAGUGGAAAUGGCCUUAAGAUUGUUUAAUUCAAACAAGGGAAGGAAAGGUAGAAAAAAGGCUAUGUGGGUAAUAGUAAAGGCUCCUCGACAACAAGAUGCCAAACAAUGUGGUUACUAUGUGAUGUGAUUUAUGAGACAAAUUGUUGAAGAAGUUGAAAUUAUCGAAAGAGAUUCACUACGAUCUAUAUUCACACAAGCAGAGUAUUCUCGAGAAGAAAUUGAUGAGGUGCGAUCGGAGUUGGCAGAAUGUAUACAAGAUCAUAUUUAUGAGUAGGUGCGUUCAAGUUUAUGUGGAUACAGGACAGUCGAGAUCAG
Long non-coding RNA from Zingiber officinale, 474 nucleotides. RefSeq lists it as uncharacterized. Lineage: Eukaryota; Viridiplantae; Streptophyta; Magnoliopsida; Zingiberales; Zingiberaceae. The record is from RefSeq and is a predicted model, not a curated record. The transcript is spliced from 5 exons.